GGAAGGAUCAUUACCGAAUUGUCAAACAUGGGUUGUUGCUGGCCCCCGAACGGGGCAUGUGCACGCUCUGUUUACACAUCCACUCACACCUGUGCACCCUCUGUAGUUCUGUGGACCGGGAGACGUCGUCUUCCUUCCGUAGCUCUACGUCUUUACACACACACCGUAGCGAUGUCUCAUGGAAUGUUUUUUCGCGUUUAACGCAAUACAAUACAACUUUCAGCAACGGAUCUCUUGGCUCUCGCAUCGAUGAAGAACGCAGCGAAAUGCGAUAAGUAAUGUGAAUUGCAGAAUUCAGUGAAUCAUCGAAUCUUUGAACGCACCUUGCGCCCCUUGGUUAUUCCUCGGAGCAUGCCUGUUUGAGUAUCAUGAACACCUCAACUCUCAUGGUCUUCCAUGAUGAGCUUGGACUUUGGGGGUUUGCUGGCCUUGUGGCCGGCUCCUCUCAAAUGAAUCAGCUUGCCAGUGUUUGGCGGCGUCACGGGUGUGAUAACUAUCUACGCUUGUGGUCGUCCACCAGGUAACCCUCAGCGAUGAAGGUUCAUUGGGGCUCAUAAACGUCUCUCCCCAGCGAGGACAACUUUUGAACGUUCGAUCUCAAAUCAGGUAGGACUACCCGCUGAACUUAAGCAUAUCAAUAAGCGGAGGAAAA
RNAcentral lists this ribosomal RNA (652 nucleotides) under uncultured fungus. RNAcentral's name for it is "eukaryotic LSU rRNA". The stretch from base 215 to 369 matches the Rfam family "5.8S ribosomal RNA". Lineage: Eukaryota; Fungi. The record is from RNAcentral.